CAAUAGCGUAUAUUAAAGUUGUUGCAGUUAAAAGCUCGUAGUUGGAUUUCUGGUGGGGUGGUUGGCUGGCGUCUAAUGAGUUUUGCGCCUAUACGUCUCCGCCAUCCUUGGGGAAAACUUGCUUGGCAUUAAGUUGUCGAGUUUGGGAUCCCCAUCGUUUACUGUGAAAAAUUAGAGUGUUCAAAGCAGGCUUAUGCCGUUGAAUACAUUAGCAUGGAAUAAUGGAAUAGGACUUUGGUGCUAUUUUGUUGGUUUAUGGGACCGAAGUAAUGAUUAACAGGGACAGUUGGGGCCGUUUAUAUUUCGUUGUCAGAGGUGAAAUUCUUGGAUUUACGAAAGAUAAACUUCUGCGAAAGCAUUCGGCAAGGAUGUUUUCAUUGAUCAAGAACGAAAGUUAGGGGAUCGAAGAUGAUUAGAUACCA
Molecule: ribosomal RNA, 422 nt
Filed under: uncultured eukaryote
Lineage: Eukaryota
Description: bacterial SSU rRNA
Rfam family: Eukaryotic small subunit ribosomal RNA
Source: RNAcentral